AGCGAACGCUGGCGGCAGGCCUAACACAUGCAAGUCGAACGAACCUUUCGGGGUUAGUGGCGGACGGGUGAGUAACACGUGGGAACGUGCCUUUAGGUUCGGAAUAACUCAGGGAAACUUGUGCUAAUACCGAAUGUGCCCUUCGGGGGAAAGAUUAAUCGCCUUUAGAGCGGCCCGCGUCUGAUUAGCUAGUUGGUUGAGGUAAUGGCUCACCAAGGCGACGAUCAGUAGCUGGUCUGAGAGGAUGAUCAGCCACAUUGGGACUGAGACACGGCCCAAACUCCUACGGGAGGCAGCAGUGGGGAAUCUUGCGCAAUGGGCGAAAGCCUGACGCAGCCAUGCCGCGUGAAUGAUGAAGGUCUUAGGAUUGUAAAAUUCUUUCAGCGGGGACGAUAAUGACGGUACCCGGAGAAGAAGCCCCGGCUAACUUCGUG
This 434-nucleotide ribosomal RNA is filed under the name uncultured bacterium. RNAcentral's name for it is "partial 16S ribosomal RNA". It matches the Rfam family "Bacterial small subunit ribosomal RNA", at positions 29 to 507 of the family's 1533-position model. The record is from RNAcentral.